AUUGAACGCUGGCGGAAUGCUUUACACAUGCAAGUCGAGCGGCAGCACGGGGGCAACCCUGGUGGCGAGCGGCGAACGGGUGAGUAAUACAUCGGAACAUGCCCAGUCGUGGGGGAUAACACUUCGAAAGAAGUGCUAAUACCGCAUACGUCCUGAGGGAGAAAGCGGGGGAUCGCAAGACCUCGCGCGAUUGGAGUGGCCGAUGUCAGAUUAGCUAGUUGGUGGGGUAAAGGCCUACCAAGGCAACGAUCUGUAGCUGGUCUGAGAGGAUGAUCAGCCACACUGGGACUGAGACACGGCCCAGACUCCUACGGGAGGCAGCAGUGGGGAAUUUUGGACCAUGGGGGCAACCCUGAUCCAGCCAUUCCGCGUGAGUGAAGAAGGCCUUCGGGUUGUAAAGCUCUUUCGGCAGGAACGAAACGGCGAGCUCUAACAUAGCUUGCUAAUGACGGUACCUGAAGAAGAAGCACCGGCUAACUACGUG
Molecule: ribosomal RNA, 484 nt
Filed under: uncultured bacterium
Lineage: Bacteria
Description: partial 16S ribosomal RNA
Rfam family: Bacterial small subunit ribosomal RNA
Source: RNAcentral